GUUCCGUCGUCGUCGGCGGGUUGAUGAUGCUCGUCGUCGGCGACGUCGGUUCCGGGCUCGUCGGCUGCGGUGAUGUCGGUUCCGCUGUCGUCGGCGGAACG
RNAcentral lists this transfer RNA (101 nucleotides) under Dermacoccus nishinomiyaensis. Its description in RNAcentral is "tRNA-Ala(ggc)". The record is from RNAcentral. Lineage: Bacteria; Bacillati; Actinomycetota; Actinomycetes; Micrococcales; Dermacoccaceae.